This 78-nucleotide small RNA is filed under the name Paenibacillus sp. P22. Its description in RNAcentral is "suhB". The record is from RNAcentral. Lineage: Bacteria; Bacillati; Bacillota; Bacilli; Caryophanales; Paenibacillaceae.
AUAAGAUCCGCUUAGGCGGGUUUGCUUCUAAUAGAGCAGAACAAGGCCCCCUCAAGGGGGCCUUGUUUUUUUUGCGCC